This 500-nucleotide ribosomal RNA is filed under the name Escherichia coli. RNAcentral's name for it is "bacterial SSU rRNA". It matches the Rfam family "Bacterial small subunit ribosomal RNA", at positions 1043 to 1533 of the family's 1533-position model. The record is from RNAcentral. Lineage: Bacteria; Pseudomonadati; Pseudomonadota; Gammaproteobacteria; Enterobacterales; Enterobacteriaceae.
GCAUGGCUGUCGUCAGCUCGUGUUGUGAAAUGUUGGGUUAAGUCCCGCAACGAGCGCAACCCUUAUCCUUUGUUGCCAGCGGUCCGGCCGGGAACUCAAAGGAGACUGCCAGUGAUAAACUGGAGGAAGGUGGGGAUGACGUCAAGUCAUCAUGGCCCUUACGACCAGGGCUACACACGUGCUACAAUGGCGCAUACAAAGAGAAGCGACCUCGCGAGAGCAAGCGAACCUCAUAAAGUGCGUCGUAGUCCGGAUUGGAGUCUGCAACUCGACUCCAUGAAGUCGGAAUCGCUAGUAAUCGUGGAUCAGAAUGCCACGGUGAAUACGUUCCCGGGCCUUGUACACACCGCCCGUCACACCAUGGGAGUGGGUUGCAAAAGAAGUAGGUAGCUUAACCUUCGGGAGGGCGCUUACCACUUUGUGAUUCAUGACUGGGGUGAAGUCGUAACAAGGUAACCGUAGGGGAACCUGCGGUUGGAUCACCUCCUUACCUUAAAGAA